UGGCCUUCAGUAUAUGGGGUCCCAUGAAAAUAUUUUUUGAAGAUCUCUGUAUAAAUAAACAACUUGAACUUAUAAUAUAUAUUCAAGAUGUAGUUGGAGUAUUUUAUAGUGCCAGCAAAUAAGAAAGUUCUCAAAAACAAGUGAUGGAGGAUAAGUUAAAGGGACAUGUGUGCCAACUGAAAGACUUCCCAAUGGCCAAGAAUUGAAUAAUUUUAGAAAUAAAAUAAAGUAGUAUGGAAUUAUGAUGCAAAGCAUAAAAUUAAUAUUCAUGAGUUAAUGCAGAUAUGAAUGAUUCUACAAUAAAUAAGAACAUGCAAACGUCCUAUCCAGAAAAAUUGUAAGUAAUUUAAACAGAUGGUCCACCCUCAAGAAAAUGGAACAUAAUUCCCUACUCCUUAAUUGUGGGCUGGUAAUAGUGACUUCCUUCUAAGGAGUAUGGGAGGGAAUUAGGAAAUAAAAGAGUAGCUAUGGUGGAGAACCCUGACAAGCCCUACUUCAGCCAGGUGACAAGGGUCAGCAUCAGCAUUACUACGUCAUACUGAUGAUACGUAUCCUUGAUAGCAUGUGAUGAGAACUGAAACUUUACCUCUAUGGUUUUUUUCUCCAAAAUCUAUAACCCCAAUCUAAUCAUGAGAAAACUAUCAAGUUUGCAUUGUGGUGCAGGGACAACAAAUCUGACUAGUACCCAUGAGGAUGUGGGUUCAAUCCCUGGCUUCACUCAGUGAGUCAGGGAUCUGGCAUUGCAAUGCACUGCGGUGUAGGUCACAGAUGUGGCUCAGAUCCCAUGUUGCUGUGGCUGUGGCUCUGAUUUGACCCCUAGCCCAGGAACUUCUACGUGCCUUGUGGGGGGGGGGGGUCUUAAAAAAAAGCAAAAAUAAAUAAAUAAAAUUUAGCAGUUCCUGUUUUGGCUCAACUGUUAACGAACCUGACUUGCAUCCAUGAGGACACGGGUUCAACCCUGGCCUUGCUCAGUGGGUUAAGAUCAGGUGUUUCCAUGAGCUGUGGUGUAGGGUCACAGAUGCAUCUUAGAUCCCACAUUGCUGUGGCUCUGGCAUAGGCUGGCGGGCUACAGCUCUGAUUGGUCCCCUAGCCUGGGAACCUCCAUAAGCUGCGGGUGGGGCCCAAAAAAGACAAAAAAAGAGAAAAAUAUCUGACAAACCCCAAUGAAGGGAUAUUCUAUAAAAUACAUGGCCAUUUCUCCUCAAAACUGUCAAGGUCAUCAAAAAUAAGGGAAGUCUGAACACCUGUUUCAGCCAAGAAGCUCCUGAGGAGACAUGGUUGAUUAUAGAAUGUGGGAUGGAUCCUGGAACAUAAAAAUGGACUUUUGGUCAAAACUUAAGUAAUCUGAAUAAAAUAUUGAUUUAGUUCAUAAUUCUUCAUUGUUUCCUUAAUUGUAACAAAUAUACACAUAUAAGGUGUUAAUAAUAAGGAAACUGGAUUUGAAGUAUUGUGGGAACUCUAUAUUAUCUAGGUAAUUUUUCUGUAAACCUGAAUUUGUUCUUAAUUAAAGGUUUAUUUUAAAAGAAUUACAAAUUUCUAUAUAAGGUAAUGCGAUUUACUGAUGGCAAACUUGUUUUGUAAAGGGUCAGAUGGUGAAUAAUCAAGGUUUUGUGAGCUAUGAAUGGUCUGUGUCACAUAUUUGUUUUCGUUGUUUAUAACCCUUUAGAAAUGUAUAAUACACUCCUAUCUGUAGGGUUAUUCAAAGACAAGUAGAAUAAGAUGUGAAGACUAUAGUUGCAGAACUCCUGGUUUAAAAUAACGUAUAGAGAAGAGGUACUUACACAUUUGUUUGUCCUUUCAGUGCACAUGUAGAUUUUUUUCAAGUGUCCAGGUACCACUUCUUCAGAUCCAAUAAUAAUUCUAUUUCAUUAUUAUCAAAUGCACCGUACCUGACUAAUUUCAUUUUUUCCCAUGAGACAAGUUACUAAUGAUAUUUUUACCCACAAUGCCAUGGCUCCUCAAAACCUGUUUUAUUGAACCAAUAUAAAUCUCCUUGCCUCUGCAGUUUCCUUCUACCAUAUACCCAUGACUAUGUUACCCAUUGAACCACUUUGAACACUGGCUUCUAAUGACUCUCUUAAAUGUUGUUGAUAAUGACCCUAAUUAAGAGUCUAGGGUAUGCAGAGAAAAGUGAACAAUAAUUAAUUUUCUAGAUGUGGCAAAUUGGCUGUUCAAAAUUAUACAGUGUAAAAGUUGAACACUAUCUUUUAAUCAUGUCUUGCCUUGGAGUCUUUAGAUUGUCAUUACCACUUUCCUAGGAUAUGAUCUUUUUAAAUGUUGUCUGCACCACUGCCUUCCACACAUGACCACCAGUGCGGAGAAAAGGCAGUGCUCUGUGGAGAGGGUGGAAAAGGUGUUUCCAUUUGCACAAGAAACAUGCUUUCUUUAUCCAACAUGGUUUAAGAUCAGUUUAGCAAAGGACAAUGUCACUAUAUUGAUCAAAAGUGAAAGACAUAGAUUAAAUAGACCAGUUGAUGUCAAGAAGCCAUAGUUUCAGAAUCUUUCAGAAGAGAUGUAUAACCAUUCCAAGAAGCAUUAAUUAUGGAAAAACGUCUGUGGAGGAAGUGCAAAGACUUCCCUGGGGGAUUUUUUUUUAGGUUAUAUAUAUGUGUGUGUUUUUUUAGUUGAAUUUUAAUUUUAUAUUGGACAUAUUGGUGUAUAGUUGAUUUACAAUGUUGUGUUAGUUUCAGGUGCACAGUAAAGUUAUUCACUUACACAUAUAUCCAUUCUUUUUCAGAUUUUUUUCCCAUGUACGUUAUUAUAGAAUAUUGAGUAGAGUUCACUCUGCUACACACUAGGUCCUUGUUUGAUAUCUAUUUUGUAUAUAGUAGUGUGUAUAUGUUAUUCCCAAACUCCUAAUUUACCCCUCUCCUCUCACAGAACUUUACCCUUUGGUAACCAUUAUUUUGUUUUCAAAGUCUGCAAGUCUGUUUCUGUUUUGUAAAUAACUUCAUUUGUAUCUUUUCUUUUCUUUUUAGAUUCCACAUAUAAGUGAUACGCAUAUGAUAUCUGUCUCUGCUAGAUUUACUUCACUUAAUAUGGUAAUCUCUAGGUCCAUCCAUGUCGCUAAAAAUGGCAGUAUUUUGUCCUUCUUUAUGGAUGAGUAAUAUUUCAUUGUAUAUAUGUACCACAUCUUCCCUGAGUAACUUAAAACCAUCAUAUCAGGGGAAGCACUGACACCAAAAGGAACUUCUGCCACUAUUCCCAUGUGCUUUCCCUCACUGCCUACAGUCUCUAACGAUCAGAGGAAGCCCUGUUGUUGGAAUGUGGAGGAUUGUGGAAAAAAAAUCCAAGGAUCUAUGGUAGGUGAUCAGCAGCCCAGAGUCUUGAACUUGUCAAGUGUCCUGAGUAGGAGUUACUCCAAAUUAGUGUGUCAGUACCAUUCUGGCAGCUCAGCUUCACAGAGACCCCCAAAGAAACAUCAGAUGAUGGGUUCACCUUUAGGGCCCCAGGAUGACCACAUGAGCACAAAUCAAUCUUGGGGCAUCUAGACGACCCAUGCACAGCAUAGCUGGAGGUAGGUGACCAGAGAGAUUUCUGAAUGAGAAAAAUAGGAACUGGCGAUCCUGGUAGUGAGCUUGUUCCAAGCCACUGGAAGGAGAGCAGUAAACAAUUUCCCUAAGGACUCUCCAAAACAUGGGGCUUUCUGAGGUGAGACCUAGGCAGAGAUUUCUGCUUGUCAUUUCUAAUUUCUCAGUUCAAGACAUAGGGGAUGCUCCUGUGCUGACCUUAGGCCUCCAACCACCCCCUCAAAAUCCCACUAGUACCAUGAAAAUCAUUCAAACUCAUUUCUUUCCAGCAUUUUGGGUAGAGAUGAAAAAUAUUUUUGGGACUUCUUUUGUUCUUUUUCUUUGUUAAUUCUUUUUUUUAAGAUUUUUGUUUUUUCUAUUAUACCUGAUUUACAAUAUCCUGUCAAUUUCUGCUAUAUGGCAACGUGACCCAGUUUUCCUCCAUCAUGCUGCAUCACAAGUGACUAGAUAUAGUUUCCUGUGCUAUACAGCAGGAUCUUAUUGCUUACCCACUCCAAAUUCUAUAGCUUGCAUUUAUUAACCCCAAACUCUCAGUCCAGUCCACUCUGUCCCGCUCCCCCUUGGCAGCCACAAGUCUGUUCUCCAAGCCCAUGAGUUUGUUUCUUUUCUAUAGAUAGGUUCAUUUGCGCUUCAUAUUAGAUUCCAGAUAUAAAUGAUAGGGACUUAAAGUAUAUAUCCUGCAUCCUAUUCCUCAGGUCCCUGCUGUCUAAUAACUAACUGGUAGAACUAACUCAGGAUAAGUUGUUAAUCCUGAUAAUAUCUUAAUUCCAGAUAAUGCACUUUUAUUUAACAAGAUCUUUUUUUUUUUCUUUAAAUGCCUAACACUAAGUUGUAAAUCUGACUAUGCUUGUUAGAACAUGUCGAUUCACAAUUAAGGGGCCACAGAGCAUUGCUGAGCUCUAGCUGCUUAUCAGGGAUUAUCAUUUUACAUUUACCCUGCUGAAUACAUUUUACAGCUCAGAGAAGUAAUACUUACUUAGGAUUUUUUUUUUAUUGGUUUGGGGAGGGAGGAUGUCCAUUUAUUCUUCCCAAUAUUUUAGCAUCUAACUGAAUUGUUCCAGAUAAUUAAGCCAUAAUAAAAUUUUGGUUAUAUUGGGUUAAAUAAAAUAAAAAAGUCAUGAGCUUUGGGAGUUCCCGUCAAGACACAGUAGAAACAAAUCUGACUAGGAACUGUGAGGUUGUGGAUUCGAAUCCUGGCCUAGCUCAGCGGGUUAAGGAUCUGGCAUUGCAGAGAGCUGUGGUGUAGGUCACAGACGUGGCUGGGAUCUGGCGUUGCUAUGGCUGUGGCUCUGACAUAGGCCAGUGGCAACAGCUCCGAUUAGACCCUCUAGCCUGGGAACCUCCAUAUGCACACAGGUGCAGCCCUAAAAAGACAAAAGACAAAAAAAAAAAAAAAAAAAAAAAAAAAA
RNAcentral lists this long non-coding RNA (4939 nucleotides) under Sus scrofa (pig). RNAcentral describes it as "lncRNA (ENSSSCG00030003524.1)". The record is from RNAcentral. Lineage: Eukaryota; Metazoa; Chordata; Mammalia; Artiodactyla; Suidae.